AGAGCGAACGCUGGCGGCAGGCCUCAAACAUGCAAGUCUAGGGGGUGUAGCAAUACAUCACCGGCGGACGGGUGCGUAACACGUGGGAAUGUACCUACUGGUUCGGAACAACGCAGGGAAACUUGCGCUAAUACCGAAUAAGCCCGAAAGGGGAAAGAUUUAUCGCCAGUAGAUCAGCCCGCGUAGGAUUAGCUAGUUGGUGGGGUAAUGGCCCACCAAGGCUCCGAUCCUUAGCUGUUCUGAGAGGAAGAUCAGCCACACUGGGACUGAGACACGGCCCAGACUCCUACGGGAGGCAGCAGUUGGGAAUCUUGGACAAUGGGGGAAACCCUGAUCCAGCCAUGCCGCGUGAGUGAUGAAGGCCUUCGGGUUGUAAAACUCUUUCGACGGGGACGAUAAUGACGGUACCCGUAGAAGAAGCUCCGGCUAACUUCGUGCCAGCAGCCGC
Molecule: ribosomal RNA, 448 nt
Filed under: uncultured bacterium
Lineage: Bacteria
Description: SSU rRNA
Rfam family: Bacterial small subunit ribosomal RNA
Source: RNAcentral